Long non-coding RNA from Oncorhynchus keta (chum salmon), 736 nucleotides. RefSeq lists it as uncharacterized. Lineage: Eukaryota; Metazoa; Chordata; Actinopteri; Salmoniformes; Salmonidae. The transcript is spliced from 4 exons. The record is from RefSeq and is a predicted model, not a curated record.
UCUCUUCUCCCUGGACCUCUGUGUUGAAUCACUAAGGCCUCUCUUCUCCCUGGUCCAGACCUGUCUCUGUGUUGAAUCACUAAGGUCUCUCUUCUCCCUGGACCUCUGUGUUGAAUCACUAAGGUCUCUCUUCUCCCUGGUCCAGACCUGUCUCUGUGUUGAAUCACUAAGGUCUCUCUUCUCCCUGGUCCAGACCUGUCUCUGUGUUGAAUCACUAAGGUCUCUCUUCUCCCUGGACCUCUGUGUUGAAUCACUAAGGUCUCUCUUCUCCCUGGUCCUCUGUGUUGAAUCACUAAGGUCUCUCUUCUCCCUGGACCUCUGUGUUGAAUCACUAAGGUCUCUCUUCUCCCUGGUCCAGACCUGUCUCUGUGUUGAAUCACUAAGGUCUCUCUUCUCCCUGGUCCUCUGUGUUGAAUCACUAAGGUCUCUCUUCUCCCUGGUCCUCUGUGUUGAAUCACUAAGGUCUCUCUUCUCCCUGGUCCAGACCUGUCUCUGUGUUGAAUCACUAAGGUCUCUCUUCUCCCUGGUCCUCUGUGUUGAAUCACUAAGGUCUCUCUUCUCCCUGGUCCAGACCUGUCUCUGUGUUGAAUCACUAAGGUCUCUCUUCUCCCUGGUCCAGACCUGUCUCUGUGUUGAAUCACUAAGGUCUCUCUUCUCCCUGGACCUCUGUGUUGAAUCACUAAGGUCUCUCUUCUCCCUGGACCUCUGUGUUGAAUCACUAAGGUCUCUCUUCUCC